UGGGGAAUAUUGCACAAUGGGCGAAAGCCUGAUGCAGCAACGCCGCGUGAGGGACGACGGCCUUCGGGUUGUAAACCUCUUUUAGCAAGGAAGAAGCGAAAGUGACGGUACUUGCAGAAAAAGCGCCGGCUAACUACGUGCCAGCAGCCGCGGUAAUACGUAGGGCGCAAGCGUUAUCCGGAAUUAUUGGGCGUAAAGAGCUCGUAGGCGGUUUGUCGCGUCUGCUGUGAAAAACCCGAGGCUCAACCUCGGGCCUGCAGUGGGUACGGGCAGACUAGAGUGCGGUAGGGGAGAUUGGAACUCCUGGUGUAGCGGUGGAAUGCGCAGAUAUCAGGAAGAACACCGAUGGCGAAGGCAGAUCUCUGGGCCGUAACUGACGCUGAGGAGCGAAAGGGUGGGGAGCAAAACAGGCUUAGAUACCCUGGUAGUCCACCCCGUAAACGUUGGGAACUAGUUGUGGGGUCCAUUCCACGGAUUCCGUGACGCAGCUAACGCAUUAAGUUCCCCGCCUGGGGAGUACGGCCGC
This 526-nucleotide ribosomal RNA is filed under the name uncultured bacterium. RNAcentral's name for it is "partial 16S ribosomal RNA". It matches the Rfam family "Bacterial small subunit ribosomal RNA", at positions 355 to 889 of the family's 1533-position model. The record is from RNAcentral.